AGAUCCUUAACCCACUGAGCGAGGCCAGAGAUCGAACCUGCAACAUGGUGGUUUCUAGUCGGAUUCGUUUCCGCUGUGCCAUGACAAGAACUCCGUAGCUCCUCUAGUUCUUUUUUUGUUUGUUUGUUUGUUUGUUUUUGUCUUUUUGCUAUUUCUUUGGGCCGCUCCCGCGGCACAUGGAGGUUCCCAGGCUAGGGGUCGAAUUGGAGCCAUAGCCACUGGCCUACGCCAGAGCCACAGCAACUCGGGAUCCGAGCAGCAUCUGCAACCUACACCACAGCUCACAGCAACGCCGGAUCGUUAACCCACUGAGCAAGGGCAGGGACCGAACGCGCAACCUCAUGGUUUCUAGUCGGAUUCGUUAACCACUGCGCCACGACAGGAACUCCUAGUUCUAUUGGGUAUAGGAGAUGUUCCAGGAUGGCCUAGACCUGGUAAUAAGCACCUUAGGGCAACCGAAUUAACCCAGGGGGCUCUGGGGAUGCUACUGAGAGGGAUCAAAAUUAAAGUCUGGUUAAAAGUUGGAAUAUAUGGAGUUCUAUUGGGUAUAGGAGAUGUUCCAGGAUGGCCUAGACCUGGUAAUAAGCACCUUAGGGCAACCGAAUUAACCCAGGGGGCUCUGGGGAUGCUACUGAGAGGGAUCAAAAUUAAAGUCUGGUUAAAAGUUGGAAUAUAUGGAGUUCCCAUUGUGGCUCAGUGGAAACAAAUCUGACUAGGAUCCAUGAGGUUUCGGGUUUGACCCCUGGCCUCACUCAGUGGGUUAAGGAUCCAAUGUUGCUGUGAGCUGUGGUGGUUGAAGACGUGGCUCAGAUCUGGCAUUGCUGUGCCUGUGGCGUAGGCCAGAGACUACAGCUCCGAUUUGACCCCUAGCCUGGGAACCUCCAUAUGCUGUGGGUGUGGCCCUAAAAAGACAGAAAAAAAAAUUGGAAUAUGGUGAUUUUUAUUUUAUUAUUAUUAUUAUUAUUAGAGCUGCAUAUGGAGCUCUAAUAAAACCCUCCUACCC
Molecule: long non-coding RNA, 1003 nt
Filed under: Sus scrofa (pig)
Lineage: Eukaryota; Metazoa; Chordata; Mammalia; Artiodactyla; Suidae
Description: lncRNA (ENSSSCG00015026004.1)
Source: RNAcentral